Molecule: ribosomal RNA, 1343 nt
Filed under: uncultured bacterium
Lineage: Bacteria
Description: 16S ribosomal RNA
Rfam family: Bacterial small subunit ribosomal RNA
Source: RNAcentral
GACGAACGCUGGCGGCGUGCUUAACACAUGCAAGUCGAACGGAAAGGCCCUGCUUUUGUGGGGUGCUCGAGUGGCGAACGGGUGAGUAACACGUGAGUAACCUGCCCUUGACUUUGGGAUAACUUCAGGAAACUGGGGCUAAUACCGGAUAGGAGCUCCUGCUGCACGGUGGGGGUUGGAAAGUUUCGGCGGUUGGGGAUGGACUCGCGGCUUAUCAGCUUGUUGGUGGGGUAGUGGCUUACCAAGGCCUUGACGGGUAGCCGGCCUGAGAGGGUGACCGGCCACAUUGGGACUGAGAUACGGCCCAGACUCCUACGGGAGGCAGCAGUGGGGAAUAUUGCACAAUGGGCGGAAGCCUGAUGCAGCAACGCCGCGUGCGGGAUAACGGCCUUCGGGUUGUAAACCGCUUUCGCCUGUGACGAAGCGUGAGUGACGGUAAUGGGUAAAGAAGCACCGGCUAACUACGUGCCAGCAGCCGCGGUGAUACGUAGGGUGCGAGCGUUGUCCGGAUUUAUUGGGCGUAAAGGGCUCGUAGGUGGUUGAUCGCGUCGGAAGUGUAAUCUUGGGGCUUAACCCUGAGCGUGCUUUCGAUACGGGUUGACUUGAGGAAGGUAGGGGAGGAUGGAAUUCCUGGUGGAGCGGUGGAAUGCGCAGAUAUCAGGAGGAACACCAGUGGCGAAGGCGGUUCUCUGGGCCUUUCCUGACGCUGAGGAGCGAAAGCGUGGGGAGCGAACAGGCUUAGAUACCCUGGUAGUCCACGCUGUAAACGGUGGGUACUAGGUGUGGGGUCCAUUCCACGGGUUCCGUGCCGUAGCUAACGCUUUAAGUACCCCGCCUGGGGAGUACGGCCGCAAGGCUAAAACUCAAAGGAAUUGACGGGGCCCCGCACAAGCGGCGGAGCAUGCGGAUUAAUUCGAUGCAACGCGUAGAACCUUACCUGGGUUUGAUAUGGAUCGGGAGUGCUCAGAGAUGGGUGUGCCUCUUUUGGGGUCGGUUCACAGGUGGUGCAUGGCUGUCGUCAGCUCGUGUCGUGAGAUGUUGGGUUAAGUCCCGCAACGAGCGCAACCCUUGUUCACUGUUGCCAGCACGUUAUGGUGGGGACUCAGUGGAGACCGCCGGGGUCAACUCGGAGGAAGGUGGGGAUGACGUCAAGUCAUCAUGCCCCUUAUGUCCAGGGCUUCACGCAUGCUACAAUGGCUGGUACAGAGAGUGGCGAGCCUGUGAGGGUGAGCGAAUCUCGGAAAGCCGGUCUCAGUUCGGAUUGGGGUCUGCAACUCGACCUCAUGAAGUCGGAGUCGCUAGUAAUCGCAGAUCAGCAACGCUGCGGUGAAUACGUUCCCGGG